Molecule: ribosomal RNA, 678 nt
Filed under: Sceloporus gadsdeni (Lagoon spiny lizard)
Lineage: Eukaryota; Metazoa; Chordata; Lepidosauria; Squamata; Phrynosomatidae
Description: partial 12S ribosomal RNA
Rfam family: Bacterial small subunit ribosomal RNA
Source: RNAcentral
AGUUUUGGUCCUAAACUUACUGCUACUUUUAAUCAAAUUUACACAUGCAAGCAUCCACACACCAGUGAAAUACGCCCUAACACAGUAUAAAUGGAGCAGGUAUCAGGCACAACCGCCAGCCAAAAACACCAAGCUUUGCCACACCCACACGGGCCCUCAGCAGUGAUAAACAUUAAGCAAUAAGCGAACACACCAAACUAAAGCUUGACUUAGUUAUGAUUAACAGGGCCGGUAAACCUCGUGCCAGCCACCGCGGUUACACGGCGGGCCCAAAGCAGCAGACUCUCGGCGUAAAUAGUGGCCAGAAUAAUUACCCCCACAUUAAAAACUAAACCAUACCCUAACCGUAAAACACAGGCUAAAUGAAAUCAAGCACUUUUAAUAACAGGUAAUUUGACCCACGAAAACUAAGAAACAAACUAGGAUUAGAUACCCUACUAUGCUUAGUCGUUAAUAUGAUAUUAUAGUACUAAAAUAUCCGCCAGAAAACUACGAGCGAAAAGCUUAAAACUCAAAGGACUUGGCGGUGCUCCAUACCGACUUAGAGGAGCCUGUCCUAUAAUCGAUACCCCACGCUAAACCCCACCAAUCUUUGCCAUACCAGCCUAUAUACCGCCGUCGUCAACCCACCUCAUGAGAGAAAAACAGUGAGUACAAAAGUUCAAUAACUAAAACGUC